GAUGAACGCUGGCGGCGUGCCUAAUACAUGCAAGUAGAACGCUGAAGGAGGAGCUUGCUCUUCUGGAUGAGUUGCGAACGGGUGAGUAACGCGUAGGUAACCUGCCUGGUAGCGGGGGAUAACUAUUGGAAACGAUAGCUAAUACCGCAUGACAACAGUUAUUGCAUGAUAACUGUUUAAAAGGGGCAACUGCUCCACUACCAGAUGGACCUGCGUUGUAUUAGCUAGUUGGUGAGGUAACGGCUCACCAAGGCGACGAUACAUAGCCGACCUGAGAGGGUGAUCGGGCACACUGGGACUGAGACACGGCCCAGACUCCUACGGGAGGGAGCAGGAGGGAAUCUUCGGCAAUGGACGGAAGUCUGACCGAGCAACGCCGCGUGAGUGAAGAAGGGUUUCGGAUCGUAAAGCUCUGUUGUAAGAGAAGAACGAGUGUGAGAGUGGAAAGUUCACACUGUGACGGUAUCUUACCAGAAAGGGACGGCUAACUACGUG
This 495-nucleotide ribosomal RNA is filed under the name uncultured bacterium. RNAcentral's name for it is "partial 16S ribosomal RNA". It matches the Rfam family "Bacterial small subunit ribosomal RNA", at positions 28 to 507 of the family's 1533-position model. The record is from RNAcentral.